RNAcentral lists this ribosomal RNA (313 nucleotides) under uncultured bacterium. RNAcentral's name for it is "bacterial SSU rRNA". It matches the Rfam family "Bacterial small subunit ribosomal RNA", at positions 29 to 346 of the family's 1533-position model. The record is from RNAcentral.
ACGAACGCUGGCGGCGUGCUUAACACAUGCAAGUCGAGCGGUAAGGCCUUUCGGGGUACACGAGCGGCGAACGGGUGAGUAACACGUGGGUGAUCUGCCCUGCACUUCGGGAUAAGCCUGGGAAACUGGGUCUAAUACCGGAUAUGACCUCCUAUCGCAUGGUGGGUGGUGGAAAGAUUUAUCGGUGCAGGAUGGGCCCGCGGCCUAUCAGCUUGUUGGUGGGGUAAUGGCCUACCAAGGCGACGACGGGUAGCCGGCCUGAGAGGGUGACCGGCCACACUGGAACUGAGACACGGUCCAGACUCCUACGGGA